Molecule: ribosomal RNA, 559 nt
Filed under: uncultured bacterium
Lineage: Bacteria
Description: bacterial SSU rRNA
Rfam family: Bacterial small subunit ribosomal RNA
Source: RNAcentral
CCUCGGGAGGCAGCAGUGGGGAAUCUUAGACAAUGGGCGCAAGCCUGAUCUAGCCAUGCCGCGUGAGUGAUGAAGGCCUUAGGGUCGUAAAGCUCUUUCGCCUGUGAUGAUAAUGACAGUAGCAGGUAAAGAAACCCCGGCUAACUCCGUGCCAGCAGCCGCGGUAAUACGGAGGGGGUUAGCGUUGUUCGGAAUUACUGGGCGUAAAGCGCACGUAGGCGGAUUGGAAAGUUGGGGGUGAAAUCCCGGGGCUCAACCCCGGAACUGCCUCCAAAACUAUCAGUCUAGAGUUCGAGAGAGGUGAGUGGAAUUCCAAGUGUAGAGGUGAAAUUCGUAGAUAUUUGGAGGAACACCAGUGGCGAAGGCGGCUCACUGGCUCGAUACUGACGCUGAGGUGCGAAAGUGUGGGGAGCAAACAGGAUUAGAUACCCUGGUAGUCCACACCGUAAACGAUGAAUGCCAGUCGUCGGGCAGUAUACUGUUCGGUGACACACCUAACGGAUUAAGCAUUCCGCCUGGGGAGUACGGUCGCAAGAUUAAAACUCAAAUGAAUUGACGG